ACCAAGUUAGCUAUAAAAGGAAGUGCAGAAUUCACCUAAAACACACAAAUUGGUCUAGGAUCUUGGAGAUGGAGAAUCCACAGCAGUUUCAGAAAAAAGUCAAGGAUGUCUCGUUGGAAGAACUUAGAGAUAAGCUAGCACAAUUUGCUAAAGUUUGAAACUGGGAAAAAUAUCAUAGUCCAAGAAACCUACUCUUAGCUUUGUUUUCCGACAGUAUGUUCACAAGCCACUAAACCUCUGCCACAGAAUCCACCAGGUAGGGGAAGUUGGAGAAUUGUCAGAGAUAUUCCAAUGGAAAGGAGAAGUUGAGAGAGGUUUGCCAAACUGGAGCAGCAAUGAAAAAAAACACUUAGGAAGAACUCUCAGACGUCUUGCUGUAUUUGGUUCAGCUUGCUGAUGUUUGUGGCCUUGAUCUUGGCCAAGCUGCUCUCUCUAAGAUUGUCAAGAAUUCCCAGAAAUACCCUCUUUGAAAUUGAGUUUUCAUUUUACGGUUCUCAAGUCAUCAUAGACUCAUCUAUCUAAGCCUAACAGUAAAAUCUGAUAUAUUUCGGUGUCAUUUGGUUUCCUGCUUCUAUGUAUCACCUAGUUGUCAUCAACCUUUUCAAGAUUUUCUUUUCUUGCAUCAUAUGAGAUGCUACUUUAAGUUCCCUGUCCAUGGCCUUAAAUCUUUGUUCGAGUGCUCUAUCUAAUAUUGUCAAGAUAAUCAGAUAUACCUAUUCUCAGUUUGUUUGGAUUGUCUAUU
Molecule: long non-coding RNA, 742 nt
Organism: Erigeron canadensis
Lineage: Eukaryota; Viridiplantae; Streptophyta; Magnoliopsida; Asterales; Asteraceae
Exons: 3
Source: RefSeq, a predicted model, not a curated record